UCAGUUCCGUAAAUUGGCUAAAACCAUGGAGACGGCUGCGAUUGUCGUGGUCACCCCUGAGACACUGGCUGCUGUGCAUAUGUGUUCCAUUACCUGCCCCGUCCGUAAAGACAUGAAGUACUUUGCAGCUAAUCUUCCUUACAGAUGAAAUGAGUACUGCUCAGAGCUGGACCAAAGCAGCUGUCGAUCCUUUGCCUCUUUGCACUUUGGAGCCCAGUCCUGAUGGGACCAGGUGUCAGAGCCCUGCCAAAUCUGUGAGAAGGGUGGAAGCAAGUUUCCCUGAGGGAAAAAAAAACAACAAAAAAAAACCUUCUGGAAUUGGGAAAAAUUUAGGUCAACAUCAUUUGAACCUUGACCUCUUGCUCUUUUGUCCCCGGGUGGACAUUUCCUUGACCUCCAGAAAUUCCUCCACCUCAAGGGAAGACUUCUUGCCCCCCUCACUUCCAGAGGCCUCCAAAGUGGGCUGGGAAGAGAUUUAAAGCAGGACCCUGGGAAGCAUGAUGAGACUCUGGAGUGUAGAGAGGCUUCCCUGCAAUGCAAAGAUCUUCAAAGGCCAAGCCCAAGGCACUGCAACCCCCAGGAGGGCCCACUCCAAAGCAGAACAGUGGAGGGAGAGCCUGCGUGUCAAGAAGCCUGGACAGCAAGACCCCCUACUGUGGCAGCCAGCCUGCUUGUAGGAGUCCUGAGAAGCCUAAUUCAAUUACCCUUAUCAGAAUGUCUCUGAACUUAACAAAGCAGAUAAUGAGUUCCAGAGACAGAUACUGCUUGGGGGGCCAAAAUUAUUUUGCUUCCCCAAAUUGGAGGCUGAAAUUGGAGAUGUUUGAAUAAUGGAAAACAUAAUCCUUCCCUAGGCCCAACCCCCUCCCAGUACCCACACCUGAGACACCCUUUCAACCAAGGAGCCUGGAUUCAACAUCCAUGCCGUCUCUCCUCCUGAAGACACCUGGUCAUGAACUCGACCUCUUUCCCCCACCAUCUUUGUGCCAUCGAUGGAAGGAAGCUGCGUACAGGAUGGAAGUGGGAGGGGAAAGGGAUUAACAUUUAUGGAGCCCUCCCCUCUAUGUGUCAGCUACAUAACACAUAGCAUUCAUUUCAACCACAGAACAUAUGUCUUUACAUUACAGAAGGCAACGGAGAACUGGAAAAGUUAACUUACUGCCUGAGGACCCAUCCCCAUCUCACCAGCAGCACAGUCAGAUUCAGACACAGGUAUUCAACUUUGCAACACACUGUGCCUCACGGCCUGUGUGCUCAACAUCAGAAAUCAAAUAGAAACUCCCUCAUUCUAAGAUUCAUAGCCAUCCUCCGAGAUAUGACAUAGCGACCUCUCCUCCGUGAACAGGGAAACAGACUGAGAGGAUAACCUAACUCUCCCAAGGCCAGAGUAUCCACUGGGAUAUGCAGCCAAGUCAGCCAGCAGUUGAAACAAGGGCUCUCUGUGCUAUCUCACAUCUGAAUUGAAUUGUUUCCUACAGACUUCUCAUAGCUCUCUAGGCAAGGAAUACAUCUUCUCACCUUCCCACACUAAGAAAGGCCUCUGUCUGAGCCUGGGUGCCGGGUGGCCAGGAUUCCUGCUGAACGUUCAGGAGCUUUCCAUCUCCAGAGGUGAGCUCCUAGUUCCUGCUUACCUUAGAACUGUAGAACAUAUAAUGUUACCACUGAAAAGAACCUCUCGUAUAGUUGGAUCACACCCUUUACCUAUUUAUUUAAAUGUACUGUUUUAAUUAUGUAACAUUUGAUAUGUGCAGGAUAAUAUGUAUGCAAAUUAUAAAGCAUAAUAAUAAAACCUGUGAACCCACCACUCAA
Homo sapiens (human) is the source of this 1806-nucleotide long non-coding RNA. RefSeq lists it as uncharacterized. The record is from RefSeq and is a predicted model, not a curated record. The transcript is spliced from 3 exons. Lineage: Eukaryota; Metazoa; Chordata; Mammalia; Primates; Hominidae.